RNAcentral lists this ribosomal RNA (388 nucleotides) under uncultured bacterium. RNAcentral describes it as "bacterial SSU rRNA". It matches the Rfam family "Bacterial small subunit ribosomal RNA", at positions 29 to 417 of the family's 1533-position model. The record is from RNAcentral.
AUUGAACGCUGGCGGCAUGCUUUACACAUGCAAGUCGAACGGCAGCACGGGGGCAACCCUGGUGGCGAGUGGCGAACGGGUGAGUAACACAUCGGAACGUGUCCAGUUGUGGGGGAUAACCCAUCGAAAGGUGGGCUAAUACCGCAUGAGCUGGCAACAGGAAAGCGGGGGACCCGCAAGGGCCUUGUGCGAUUGGAGCGGCCGAUGUCCGAUUAGCUAGUUGGUGGGGAAAGGCCUACCAAGGCUUCGAUCGGUAGCUGGUCUGAGAGGAUGAUCAGCCACACUGGGACUGAGGCACGGCCCAGACUCCUACGGGAGGCAGCAGUGGGGAAUUUUGGACAAUGGGGGCAACCCUGAUCCAGCCAUGCCGCGUGAGUGAAGAAGGCCU